This is a non-coding RNA of Cadophora sp. M221, 84 nucleotides long. Lineage: Eukaryota; Fungi; Ascomycota; Leotiomycetes; Helotiales; Ploettnerulaceae. The record is from the annotation of a GenBank genome assembly.
CGCCCCUGAAUAUAGUGGUCAUACGUCAGACUCUGAUUUGCAUCAGAUCCUCUGAAGUCGCCGGUUCGAAUCCGGAAGGGGUGU